AAAAAGUUUGUACGAAGAGUUUACGACCAAACUACACUUGGCAUUUUGAUUGAUAUGACAAAUUAAAGCCAUAUGGUUUGGCUAUCAGUGGUUGUAUUGAUGGCUAUUCGCGGAAGGUAUUAUGGUUGGUUUGCGGAGCAACUAACAGCAACCCAGCAGUCAUAGUUCAACACUACGUUCAGUGCGGUUCAGAGUUUGGAGUCAUACCAGUGCGACUUCGCACAGACUACGGCAUUGAAAAUGGCACGAUGGCAGCAAUGCAUUGUGCCUUAUGGUCAUCUCAUCAGGAUUUUUUUGCAGGAGCUGCCAGUCAUAUGUAUGGAUCUUCAACAACAAACCAAAGAAUUGAAAGCUGGUGGUCAUACUUCAGAAAACAGCGGAAGGUUUUAAAUUGUUGCCAGUAACAACUAUAUUAACCAGAUAAAAGUGUUUAACAUAUAGUCGGUGAUGCAGAAGCCUUGCUGUGUAUCACACCACCUUUCCUUUAUAGCUUCAAUGUGUAGCCAUUAUGUUACAUAGAAGCACAAGAUAGAAGAUAUAAACUAUAAUAGUCAAUAAAGAAAGUAAAAUGAAUAGAAAUCUCAUGGAAAAAAGAAACACUUGGAUAAAGUGCAUAUCAAAUGGUCAUUUGUGGUAUAAGAAAAUAUAACCUAACUAAAGUAUCCGAAAUGCACCCACUUUACAUCAACUCAAGAAACAAUUUCAUAAACUUAAGAAAUAGUAAGGCUUUGAAGGCUGGUGCUUUGUGAACUGACGGUAUGUUUUUAUGUCUUUUUUAGAACCCAGUUCUGGAUGGACCUUUUGAGUGACAUGAGGGAAAUGCACCUCUUUAAUGGUAGUCAUGAACACAUGUGCUUGGUGCGCUUCAUUUUCAUGGCUGUGCUUCAAAGGGAUAUGGAUGAAUGCAAAAGAAAGUGGAACACGCACCUGAUCCGCCCAGUUAAACCGGAUGUGAUGUAUUACCUGCCUCAUAGGUUUGCUGGAUGCGACUGUGGCCUUGCAGUUGGACAUCAACAGCUGAGCCAGUUCAGGAUGAGUUCAACUCCGGAUUUCUGUGGAGACCCUCACCUACAGGAAUAUUUUGAAGGACUAAACAGUGGCUUCAGUUCAUCACAGACCUGGGAAUCUCGUGUGGAGAACUACAUCAGACUAAAAACACUUGCUGGGUUGUAAUGCCAAGGUUCCCACACAUCCCAGAACUGUGGAGUCCACUUUGUUGUUAUCAGAAGGCAACACAUGCACUUUGGUUAAGGCUAAAAAAUAUGUGUUUUGCUUCAAGUAGAACACAUUUAUAGUUCAUCAGUUUAUAGUCACUUAAAAAAAUACCCUUUAUGUUUUUCCAAAUAAGAAUAUCAGUUGUGACUGUGAGAUCAAAUAAAUUAUUUCUGCUAACAGAUGAUAUUGUGAAGACUCUCUUAACCUCCACCUUAA
This is a long non-coding RNA of Oreochromis aureus, 1431 nucleotides long. The record is from Ensembl. NCBI's taxonomy places the organism in Eukaryota, Metazoa, Chordata, Actinopteri, Cichliformes, Cichlidae.